Molecule: long non-coding RNA, 511 nt
Organism: Ornithodoros turicata
Lineage: Eukaryota; Metazoa; Arthropoda; Arachnida; Ixodida; Argasidae
Exons: 2
Source: RefSeq, a predicted model, not a curated record
CGACAGGGGAUGAUGUGCCUCGAGAAGGAGCGGAAGCUGGUGUCCGGGAACCCGACUUGCCAGUUGCUGCCGGUGGAGGAGAUAUAAUUAUUUUACCUGACCCUUUGCAUUUGCCCAUCACUUUCGCCGUCGAAACUUUCUUCAACGAGCUUCGAGGAGAUGCUGGUAAAGUCUGGUUCCGAGGGAAAUUUUCGAAGACACUGUGCAACGCUUGGAAUUGGAACGUACUCGCAUUGGCAACUCUGCCGACAUCAGGGAAGCCAUUCGAGAAAUUGCAUACGCAUUAAGAUUGUAUAAUCUUUUUGAAUAUGAUGCUGCUGGUCGGUGUGCACGGUCAGUACGCUAUACGUUUACCCUCUCAGGGUCUUUUUGGCGUAAAUGACGUUUUAGAGCGUGAACUAGAUCCCGAAGAUCUCUUGGCGGGAAUUUUGGUUGACGCCUGGAAUGCUGUUUGUGAUUUGACAGGAUUGAACGACUUUAAGAUUUAAUAAAGAUUUAUUCUUGGCUUGGA